AGCUUAGCUACCAACUGUCAGUUUUUGACAGGUCUUGGUUCUCGUCUCCAUGGACACGUUUAAGUUAAUAAAAAGGAACAUGUUAGAAAAGCAGUUGAACAUACAUGCAGGUAUAAUGGGGUGUAGAAGUUUGCACAGUGUCAGCAUGUGGUGUGUGCAGACAGGUGAGGUGUCUUACCUGUUUCACUCCAACCUGGAGGAACAAACCGAACCCAGACUCCUCCAGGAGCUGCAGUCUGAGCGCCUCUUCUCUCUCAGUCAUCCGUCGGUCCCCCUCAGCCAUUUAUCCGCAGAGAAGCUCCGACCUGCAGCCGAGUAACUCUCCUCCAGAUCCCCUCCUCUUUGAGUUCAGCUGCUCUCCUCGCAUUUUAGCAAGGUGAGGGCAGAAGAGUCGCUGAGUGACUCUUUAUCCGACGUGGUCACCGCUCCUCUGCCAGCAGCAGUCUGAAGGUCUGCAGCUCUCUGAUGCUCGUGGAAAUCCUGUGAGACAUUUGAGUGUGAGGCAGAUAUGAUCACAUGACACUGAGAGACUCUCUUACCGUCCGAAGGCGUUGAGCAGAGAAACAAUCUCUUGUCGGCUGAGCUGGAAUCUGGGUCGCUGGUCGCUGGAUGAGGGCAGAGCCUCAAUCUGUCGCUCUGAAAACAAAAUCUUCAGUGAUGUUCCUAAUCCCUGAGUCUGGUGACGACAGAGAGAAAGAAAAGGAUCAAAACAAAGCAGAGUGUCACAAUGCUGCGCUAACAACACAUGUAGACCUAUUGUAACAUUGAAGAUGUUUGAGUUUUCCCCACAGUCGGCACUUGAAGCAGCCCACACAGUCCAUGAUCCUGGAGAUGUUCAGGAAGGCCAGUCUGAUGUCCUCCUGAUGUUCAUACAGCACAGGAAACACAUCAUGUCACUUUAAAGGCCAAGGAGAUACGUAAAAAGUGGUUGAAUUCACUGCAACUUAAGACAUUCUUCAGGAGAGGUCUCUGAUAAAGAACUUUAAUACAUCUAA
Molecule: long non-coding RNA, 995 nt
Organism: Notolabrus celidotus (New Zealand spotty)
Lineage: Eukaryota; Metazoa; Chordata; Actinopteri; Labriformes; Labridae
Exons: 5
Source: RefSeq, a predicted model, not a curated record